CCUAGCUCCUCUCUCCCCCGCACACUGCUCCUCCCUCCAGCGGAGCUCCCUGCCGUCCAUGGCCUCCCCCAUACCCUCCUCCCCUCUCCCCUCCCCGCCAUCCACGGCUUCCCCCAUGCCCUCCACCUCUCUCCGCCUCGACACCUCCCGAUUUGAAUCCGCAGCCCCACAGAAAUACAGAGAUAGAGGGGAACCAAAUCCUGGAGGCGGGCGGAGCUCUUCUGCUUCCAUGGCCAACGACCACUACAACUCUUCCUCCGCCUCCGCGCCGUCGCCGGCGGCGGCGGCGACCGAGGCCGCGGCAGUGGUGGGCUCCUCGGUGAUCCCUAUCAUCAACAAGCUGCAGGACAUCUUCGCGCAGCUGGGGAGCAGCUCCACCAUCGACCUAUCGUAGGUGGCCGUCGCCGGCAGCCAGAGCAGCGGCAAGUCGAGCGUCCUCGAGGCGCUCGUUGGCCGCGACUUCCUCCCACGCGGCUCCGACAUCUGCACGCGCCGCCCGCUCAUGCUCCAGCUCGUGCACCAGCUGCGCCGCCCCGCCGACGCCAAGAGGGAUGAGUGGGCCGAGUUCCUGCACCACCCCGGCUGCCGCUUCUAUGAGUUCCCCGACAUCCGACGCGAGAUCCAGGUGCUGGAGCAGUUGAGAGGACAGUGACCGGUGUUCUCCAAGGGUGAGUGUCUUAAAUCCGACAUGGUCCUGGUGGACAUGUCAAUUGUGGUCAAUAUUGGUGGUCCUAAUAGGAACGAUAUUGUGUUAUUGCAGCGAGGUACACUGUCAGGUCGUUCGGUAUCAGGCUAUGUUUAUAAAGCGGUAAAGCGAAGCGAGGCGACGCUUUACACAGACUCUGAACCUGAUGGGCAGUAUAAUAGAGCACCAUUUAGUGAGACAUAUAUAUGUUGAUUCUAAUCCACCAGUGAGCCCAUAUAUUCUGAUCCAUCCACUAAGCAGUAAGCAACUAGCCAAUUGCUAUAAGAGAGGCAGUAGCACCUAACAGCAGAGGAGUUGUGCAUAGCAUAACACACAACAGAGCAGAAAAGGCUGGUGCAGAUCUGAGGAAGCUGCUGCCAGAGGAGAGAGGAAAGAGCUGAAAGCCUGGAUAUUUGCACGCUCUGGUUUUGGUUCUCUCUCUUUCUUUCCCCUCCUGUAACUGUUUCACAUGUGAGCCCAGCCCUGUUUCCCUGCCAGGAAUCUCUGUACCCUGCCUGGCAAGUCUAAGGCGUCCUCUCUGCCUUAAAGCGCCAAUCAGGACGCCUAAGCAGGCGCUUCAGACGCUUUAGUGUCUAAGGCGGACGCCUUAGACACAUGUCUAAAGCGAGUUGGACGCUUUGAGCCUGGAGGGCGCUCUAACGCUUAAGCGUCGCUUAAGCGACGCUUUAGGGACGCUUUACAAACAGAGGUAUCAGGCGUAAUGAGAAGAUUGUGUGCUACAUGACUAUAAGGGUUGAGAAGGCGAUGCAGCUGCUGGAGAGUGGCCUGAAGGUGAAGGAGUACGAGCUGCUCAGGAGGAACUUCAGCGACACCGGAUGCUUUGGCUUCAGUAUCCAGAGCACAUCGAUCUCGGUGUGAAGUAAGUUGAAUUGGUGGCAACCCUUGUGUCAGUGAGGUGCUUGUUUGGACUGGUUAAUACUUAUUAUUCUGUUUCAUUAGUAAAUAGCUGAAACCAAAAUCAUAGAGCAGAAAUAUAUUUGGUUGAACUGCUCUUUCAUUGUACCACCAAAUACUGAAGUUUGGGGUGGGUGAAAUCUUAGGCUUUAUCCUUCAGGUUUAGCUUGUUAUGAAAAUUUAUUUACUUGUCAUGUAUUGUACGCCUGCCUUUCUUUGGCUUCCUGAAAUCACAUUUUGUUUGGCAGGGGCCAACUUUAAUUUGCUCAUCACAAACAAUUCAAAAAAUUGUACGUAUGUGCAGCUUGCUGAAACUUUGACUGAAUCUAGUUGGAUCUUCAGUUUCUUGUAUCUAUGAACAAAUAUGCAUCACUUUUUUUUCUUUUUGGUUCGAGCAAACUCAAGAGUCCUUUCUAAAACUGUAGCCAAGUUGUACCGCCUGCUACUUGAAAAAUAAAGAUGAAUGAAUUGUUUCUCCUGCUCAACUCUUUCCUCUCUGUCUGUGUACGACAGUAGCAUUCAUGCACCAAGCCCAGAACCUGAAUAUUUUGUUUGGCUGCUAGUAAACCAGGAUGUACUCUUUCCAAGUGCAAGUUGGAUAGAACCUGCAAUUUAGUGCAGAGGCAUAUAUGGAUUCUGGUUCAAUUCGUAUGUAUGUUUGUAUGUGCAUGCUUAUGUCUUUGACUAAAACUAGUUAAUUCAUUGGUCUACCUUGAAGGUGACCAGUCCCUAGCUGCGCGCUUUGGUCGGUCCUGCUAAUUUCAGUUCCUAUGAUUUUUAAUCUCCAUUUUCUGUUUCCCCAGCUACCAAGACUCUUGAGUUUGUGGUGAUGGCAGCUAACACGGAGCCGAUCGGAAUCUCCCCCACCCCCUGUUGCUCCCUGAUAAUAACAAGGUAGAAAUACUGUUUGUAUGAUGCAUCAUAUAUAGUACUGCUAAUUAGUUUGUACUAGUCGCCAACCCGUGCAUUCGCACGGGCUAGUUUGAUAAGCUAUAUUAUAAAAUAUGGGAUGCAAUUGUGGAGAGUAUUUUUAUUUGCCUGGGGUAAUGAAAUUGAAGAGUCACGCAAUUUCCAUUGGAAAAGUAACAUCUUGUCUUACCAUUGAUAAUGGUAUAUGAAAUGAAGCAUAUAUUAAAUUCUCUCCCUUUAGAUAAGAAGUCAAACUACUUAAAGAACUUGAUAACGGUAUAUAAUGCCUUCAUAUUAUUGAAAAUUUUAGAAUAAUGAAAAUAAAUUUUUCUUCUUAUUAUCCUUUCACAUAUCACCUAUUCUGACCAGUCUCUAGAGAAACUAAGCAAUUUAUUUUAGAUAGAUAAUGAGACAUCCUCACAAAAUCAACCAACAAAAACAGUUUGAUGUUGAAAUUUUACUUUUCAAAAGAGAAUAGUUUCGAUGCAAACAUUAGAUACCAUUUACUACGUUAGCUACUUUUCUUGUUCCUCCUUUUGUCACAUAAAAUACAUAAGCCUAAUCUCCAACGGAUAUAUCACAAACUACAAAAAUCGUGCAUAGAGGAAAUAGUCAUGUCAUCGAGUGGUUGCACUUUAGUGCAUCCCUUUGGUUCCGUAUUGCCCUAAACAUGUCCUAUAUUAGUCAUUUCGUAAAAUUAAAAUGCCAAACUGUAUUAUUUUAAGAUACGUUCAAAAGUAAAAUGGUGUUGGCUCUUUCUUGAAUUCAGGUCAAUUUUGGUUAAUUGCAUAUACGGAAUUAAAAUAGAUAUUAUUUGGUGCGUACCGAGUCCAAACCAAAAUUUGAAUCAAUAGGAUAUUUACCGAAAUAAGUCCAAACCAAAAUUUGAAUCAAUAGGAUAUUUACCGAAAUACCAAUUCGAUAUUACAAAAACAAUAAUUUCUGGCAUGCACACGCCUCAUAUCCAUUAUCUGUCACCCUAUAUAUUCUAAAUAUACUAAACCUAGCUAGGUUUGAUUUACCCUGUUUUUUUGACUUUUUCUUAUCAGUGAAAACUUGACCAAUGAGAGGCUGACACGUCAAUUACUGGGGGAAAUUGUGGGGUAAGCCUUGGGUGCACUUAGCGAUUUGUGUCGAUGGCGAUUGCGGAUUGGUUUUCUCUUCUCCUCUCAGUUCCCUCCGCGUGUCGAUGCGUCUCUCGAAGACUCGCGUGGGCUCUCUGCCUCCGCCGCCCACCGCUCAACCGCCGAUGCACCACCGCUCAACCGCUGUAUCUCCUUAUAAAAUGGCUCCCGCCCCUCAAGCUUGCUCCAACGCCCAUGCCCAUCACGCAGCGCCCACACGCUCCAGCAGAUCCAGACGAUGUGAUGCUGGCGGUCGGCGAGGCCUCCUCGGCGCGCGGUUUGGUUCGCAGCGAACAGUGAAGCAGAGCUGCGCGGCGAUGGCGACGACCAGCGCAGGGCACGGGCGACACCGCGACAACAAGCACAAGGCCAUGGAGGGGCUCACGCAGCGCGCGGCGGUGCGCGGCUAGGCGGACCUCACGCUGCGGCGGCGGCAGGUGCGUGCUAGCCGUGGCCAUGAGAGGGGGCUUGCGGCGUGACUGUGGCAUGCGGCAGUGGGGAUCUCCCCAACCUCUCCUACCCCCCUUCUGAUGUGGGGAACCAUGGAUUGCCGAUUUUUUGCUGAAUCUUUAGUCGUGUGGAAAUGGCGUUUUGGCUGGGACGUGACGGUGCGGCCACCGGCGCCCUGCGUCCUCCACCGGUGUCGCAUGCUCAUGCCCCUGCCCCCUUCCUUCGGCCGUCCAGACUGCCUCCGUCUCAGCCGGUGGAUGUCCAUAUGCCGGAUAACGAGUGUAGCGGCGAUCACGGUCUGUCCUGCUCCGACAGUCCUCUGUCACUUCUUCCGCUGGCUUACUACUAAUGCAGGUGGAGUUCAACAUGGAAGAGCAUGGCCCAAGCAUCAUUCUGGGCGUAGCUGCCCACCUCUAUGUGACGACUGCUCCAAGGCAGACCAAGUGUUCGUCGUAAUGUCAGAGCGGCCACAGUGAUGAUCUUCGAGGUCUGUGUAGUGCCGGAAGACAGCGACCAGUAGCGGGCGCUCGCGCACUGCUUCUGGGAUGACACAGUCAGGACUAAUAAGGAUGAGGAUCAUGUUCAUAUUUCCAGUGGGUUCGUUCCAGUGGUAUGGACGCGGCGAGGCAAUUUAUAAAGUUUGCCAGAGCAGUCACUGCGUACUAUCCCACACUCUAUCGACGGACCACCUUCUUCCACGCCGACGCCGGUCGCCGGGGUAUGGUCAUCCAUCGCCAUGCAAGAGCGCUCUAAUCCCCUAGACAGUACUGCUCACAGCAGUUGCAGGCGCGAACGCAUUGCCCUCAGCCGUGGAUGCCACUGUCCCGAACCAAGGAUGUGCAGGCAUGUUUUAGAUUAUGAUUGUGCAAAGGAAUAUGUUAGAAAAUGACGGUCUGCAAUGGUGUACCAAAAUAUUGAACAUCUUCUGAUUUUACUGGAAGAUUGAUGUGGACAUUGAAGUUAUUGCACUGGCAGCUGAUUUUUUUCCCUUCACAUUUUUGAAGACUGAAUUUUCAGCAGCACUGCACCAUUAAUUGGCUUUCUGCAUGUGACUUGUGAUUGCAGCUGAUGAAGCCGUCAACCGUUGGAGGCAUGGAAUUGUCGAGCCCAAGGUUCGUCACCCUUGUUUUCUAAAGGGAAGCUAAAGUUGGGGUUGCCAAUCUCCGAGGAUUUUCUCAACGGUGAGCACUUCCCUUUUGUUUCUCUUGUUCUGAUCUUUACCACAAGUCGGCAAUAGUCCCUAUUGCACUUCUUGGAUUGAUCUCUCAUUUUAGUCACUACUGUUAUUUAAUAUAAUAAUAAGCCUCUAUUUUUUAUUCCGCAUGCAGUAUUGUUUGCUUACACGAACAAGAUUUCUAAGUUGUUAUAUAUUAAUGUGGUGAUAGGUUGAAAAGUUUGAUCACUGAGGAAUGGGGAUUACAGUCACAGAUUAUUAUUCGGUUAUUCCUCUUGCUGGUGCCUCCGCUGAAAGUUAUGCAUCUAUAUACAACCAUAUAUAUAAGUUUGCCUCUUCAAUCAGAAGAUUGUAUUAGCUAUUCAAUUCAUAGUUCAACCUUUGAAUAUACAGUUUUGGCUGAGUAGUUUGAGCCUCCGUUGUGCAACUGGAUCAUGGUACACAUCCAGACCUGCAGCUGUGUUUUAUUUUAUUAUCCUUUUUAGAAACUGACACGCUGCCUUCGUUGCCUAAACCCGUGCUUUAAUUAAAUGAUAAAUUUACUAUAAAGAUUUUUUUCUUUGACUCUUAUAUGAAAAAAUUGUACGAACAUGUGAUUGCUAUCCAGAUUAGUCAGGUCAUCCUGCAAAUAACUGUGGGAUACAUUACUGAUACUUACUCAAUCAUUGUAGUGAAAUAAUACAAGAUGGUGAACACCUCGGAUGCAGCUCAAAGGUCAAAUAUCAUGAUAUAGAGUAGGCAUUAAACCUAUCUUAUCUACUUAAUUUUUUGUUGCAGACUAAUCGUCUAUCUUAUCCGUACAUGGCUGAUUAGGAAGUAGUACAGUACCCGCAUGUUUAAUAGUUAUCAGAUUAUUUCUGUACAUAGUUGAUUUGUGUAUUGAGACGGGAGGCCAAGUUGUUCAAUUUGUGGAUUUGAUUUAUUCAGACUGGUGGCAUUCCUUAAUUUCUGAUUCCUGUUUAUGUUUGGUUUUGAGCUGUAAAUUAUUUAUUCUGGCACAUCUAACGGCUGCUUCUUUUGUCUAGCCUUCUUUCAAUGAAAUAUUUCCAGUCAGUAGACUAUACUUGCUAUUCCAAUCACAUACAGGCCUAGGGUUGUCCACUAAGAGAAGGUGCAACAAAUUCACUUGGUUUGUGAAUAUCCUUAAUAUAAGCUAGCAACUUUUCAUAUAUAUGCCAGGUUGUCUUCAAGCCAUAGAAGCACUAUCGAGCCCUGGAGCUGUGGCGACAGUGCCGUCCCAGCCACCGGCGUCCUCUUCCAUGCCAUGGCCAUCCAGGAGGAGUGCCACGGCUAUCGCAGUUCUCCCCAUGCCAUCCUCCUGGAUGUUGAUCGUGUCCUUGCACCGGCGGCAGCUGGAGCCUGGUACGUCCAGAGAGGCAUGGCCUUGGAUUGGAGCAUUGCAGUCAUCGAUCCACUUCGUGGUAGUCAUGGGGUAGGGUGGCGUAGAACUCAGCCCCGUGAGCUGCAGUUCACCAGUUCAUUCCUCAGCUGUAAGCCCAGCAAGAAGGAAAAUGGUUUGUGCUAUAUAUACGACUGAACUGGACAAUCACAUAGAAGGUAGAUAUUUGCACAUCUGAUUUCUUUUGUGUAGUCUGGGUACUCUUUCCCAUGGUGUUAAAAAAUAUAUAUGUUUGUGAAGUUGUAUGACUUAGUGAUUUUGUAGCACACUAAGUUGACCCAAACUGGCUUGAAUUUGUUGGUUAUUUGGCCUUGCCUGAACACGGUUGGUGAAAGCAGCAGUGCUUGCUUUGAUUUUUUUUUGUUCAGUUAAAUCAUUCACAUGAGUAUCUCAAUUUAAUUAACAGUGUAAGUUGAUUGUGAGGCUGUGUAUUUUUUGUUGAAGAAGAAAGUACCACC
This 7114-nucleotide ribosomal RNA is filed under the name Triticum aestivum (bread wheat). RNAcentral's name for it is "partial small subunit ribosomal RNA". The record is from RNAcentral. Lineage: Eukaryota; Viridiplantae; Streptophyta; Magnoliopsida; Poales; Poaceae.